GCACCGAUAGCUCAACUGGAUAGAGUACCUGGCUUCGGACCAGGUGGUUGGAGGUUCGAACCCUCUUCGGUGCGC
Molecule: transfer RNA, 75 nt
Filed under: Chlamydia trachomatis
Lineage: Bacteria; Pseudomonadati; Chlamydiota; Chlamydiia; Chlamydiales; Chlamydiaceae
Also listed under: 32 other names
Description: tRNA-Arg(tcg)
Rfam family: tRNA
About the family: Transfer RNA (tRNA) molecules are approximately 80 nucleotides in length.
Source: RNAcentral